RNAcentral lists this ribosomal RNA (253 nucleotides) under uncultured bacterium. Its description in RNAcentral is "partial 16S ribosomal RNA". It matches the Rfam family "Bacterial small subunit ribosomal RNA", at positions 524 to 776 of the family's 1533-position model. The record is from RNAcentral.
UACGAAGGGGGCUAGCGUUGCUCGGAAUGACUGGGCGUAAAGGGUGCGUAGGCGGCGCGGUAAGUCGGGUGUGAAAUCUCGGAGCUUAACUCCGAGACUGCAUUCGAUACUGCCGUGCUUGAGGACUGGAGAGGAGACUGGAAUUUACGGUGUAGCGGUGAAAUGCGUAGAUAUCGUAAGGAAGACCAGUGGCGAAGGCGGGUCUCUGGACAGUUCCUGACGCUGAGGCACGAAGGUCAGGGGAGCAAACGGG